RNAcentral lists this ribosomal RNA (722 nucleotides) under Blastenia crenularia. Its description in RNAcentral is "LSU rRNA". It matches the Rfam family "Bacterial large subunit ribosomal RNA", at positions 1002 to 1435 of the family's 2925-position model. Lineage: Eukaryota; Fungi; Ascomycota; Lecanoromycetes; Teloschistales; Teloschistaceae. The record is from RNAcentral.
GGUUGUAUGUCUAAAGGGAAACAGCCCAGAACAAGUGUUAAUAAGGUUCCAAAAUUAUUAUUAAGUGAAAUAAAGGUAGUUUAUGUCCUAAACGGCCAGGAAAUGGGCUUAGGAUCGGCCAUUUUUUAAAGACCUCGUAACAGAGCACUGGCUUUGUCCUAAUUUUUAGGGUAAAUUAAGCAUAAGAAGAUAGUGUUUCUAAUUUAGUUUACAUGGAUAUAAGCACCGACGAUAUAACGGAUCUAAAUAAUAUACCGAGACCUUGUCCAUAAUUAUAUAUAUAAUAUUAUAUAACCAGAGUAUAUUAAUUAAUUUUAUUAAUAUGUUAUAGAAUCAUACUAGGGCGGCGUAAUCCCGGCUGCCAGUUGCAACAUAUACAUAUGAGUUAAUUUUUAUCUCUAGCAAGCCUUAUUACCAAUAACCCUGUUGCUACUCCAGAUAGAGAUUUAAGUGCGGGCAUGCUAAAAGUUAUAUGUUAUGUAUCGUUUUAUGGGGUAGCGGAACAUUGGGUAUACCACACCCUUUUAUUUUAUAAAUAAAAAGAGGUACCCCAAGUGAUAAUGCUGACAUGAGUAACGAUAAAGGGUUUUAAGCAAUAAACUUAAAUAGAUGAUGCUUAAAGAUGCCCUCGCCUAAAGCUUAUGGCAUUUAGUUAAAGUAACGGCCUCUAAGUUUAUAUUUUAGUAAACCUAAGGGAUUAAACGAUGAGCAAAUCUAUAAAG